GUGCCAGCCGCCGCGGUAAUACGUAGGGUGCGAGCGUUGUCCGGAAUUAUUGGGCGUAAAGGGCUCGUAGGCGGUUUGUCGCGUCGGGAGUGAAAACCUCGGGCUUAACUCGGGGCUUGCUUUCGAUACGGGCAGACUGGAGGUAUGCAGGGGAGAACGGAAUUCCUGGUGUAGCGGUGAAAUGCGCAGAUAUCAGGAGGAACACCGGUGGCGAAGGCGGUUCUCUGGGCAUGACCUGACGCUGAGGAGCGAAAGUGUGGGGAGCGAACAGGAUUAGAUACCCGGGUAGUCC
This 292-nucleotide ribosomal RNA is filed under the name uncultured bacterium. Its description in RNAcentral is "partial 16S ribosomal RNA". It matches the Rfam family "Bacterial small subunit ribosomal RNA", at positions 505 to 796 of the family's 1533-position model. The record is from RNAcentral.